Molecule: non-coding RNA, 23 nt
Filed under: Cricetulus griseus (Chinese hamster)
Lineage: Eukaryota; Metazoa; Chordata; Mammalia; Rodentia; Cricetidae
Source: RNAcentral
UCCCAGGGGAUACAGUAGCUUAC